RNAcentral lists this ribosomal RNA (253 nucleotides) under uncultured bacterium. Its description in RNAcentral is "partial 16S ribosomal RNA". It matches the Rfam family "Bacterial small subunit ribosomal RNA", at positions 524 to 776 of the family's 1533-position model. The record is from RNAcentral.
UACGAAUGGGGCUAGCGUUGUUCGGAUUUACUGGGCGUAAAGCGCACGUAGGCGGAUUGGUCAGUUAGGGGUGAAAUCCCGGAGCUCAACUCCGGAACUGCCUUUAAUACUGCCAGUCUAGAGUCCGGAAGAGGUGAGUGGAACUCCUAGUGUAGAGGUGGAAUUCGUAGAUAUUAGGAAGAACACCAGUGGCGAAGGCGGCUCACUGGUCCGGUACUGACGCUGAGGUGCGAAAGCGUGGGGAGCAAACAGG